This 2466-nucleotide long non-coding RNA is filed under the name Pongo abelii (Sumatran orangutan). Its description in RNAcentral is "lincRNA". The record is from RNAcentral. Lineage: Eukaryota; Metazoa; Chordata; Mammalia; Primates; Hominidae.
AACACAAAUUACCUGCUCUCCCAGUGAUUAGUCACGUGCAAAAAGCUUUGUCCAAUUCUUUGAAAAGGUGAGAUUUUUUUUUUCUUUUUGCGGUUUUUGAAGUUUGGUUGAAUUUAGAAAUUCGAAGGAAUAAACUAAGAGCCUGAAUUAAAUGUUUUGAAAUAUACAUACAUAAAACAAAAGACACUAGUAUUUCUUUCACUUUUAUCAGUACGCAUAGAGAAGGAAGCAGAGUAUGUGUUUCCAAAACGUGACUUGGAAAGCUGUAAGACCUCUAUGUCUUCUUGUUGUUGUUGUUGUUGUUAACAGAAGUAAAUUUUUUCAGACCCACCACCACAGAAGUGGCCAGACUCCCAAACCAGCAUUUCCAGCUACUGGCUGGAUGGUGUACACCAGGCCAAUUCUUUAUGAGAAUAUAUUAAAAGUCACCCCUGUGGAUUCCUACAAAGUACUUCCCCUUGCGGGGAGGGGAGAGGCUUACUAUCCCUUUGGUCUUGAGACCAGCACAGUUGUAGAUAAUAUCCUGAAAAGGUUAUUAUUAAAUUCUUUCGGGUAAUGCCCCUUUACAAAUAUUGUUAAACAUUCAUUUACAGAAGAACUUAAAUCUCAAUUUCAAGGGUAGCAUAAGACUAUCGCUUUAAUUUUAUUGUAUCUUUCGCAAGUUAAAAAAAAAUAACAAAGCCAUUCGCUGAUGCUACAGAAUAAAAGAAAGGGAGGCUGCUAAGGUAAUUUCAGCCUGGUAGAAUUCACGUUGCAUGCAUGCUGCAUAAAGUUUCACGCUAUCCAGAUAAGACUAUUCACUGAAUCUUUUAGACUAGAAUCGAGACAAAUAAAAUGCAUUUUAGCUUGCGUGGAAUGUCCUAGCUUCCUAGAGGCUAGGGUUCGAUGUCUUGUUUGUCAAGACAUAAAGGGAUUAAUGACAUACCUACUGUGUUCUAGACCACAGAGUGGGCACAGAGGGAUGAAAAAAUAAAAAUUCCUGCCCUUGAGGAGCUCACAGUCUACAGCUGUCAAUAAUAACAUCUAACAUUUAUUAAAUACUAUCACCUAGGCACUGAUCUAAAAGCUUUAUGUCAACUCAGUUAAUACUACCAACAACUCUUUGACAUCACUGGAAAUUCCAUAUGCUGAAUUCACAUGGAAUUAAAUGGAAAUCUACAAAGUAGCCAGUCUACUGGGUCUGUAGUGGUCAACCUAUUAAAAAUGGUUUUUAAUUUCUAAAGUACUUUAUGCCAAAUAUAACAUGUUUAUGGUAUAUGCCUGACUGUAGAAUUAUAACUCAGGGGAAUAACGACUUAUUUAAAUGUAACAGAUCUAUUCAUAGUCUGUAAAGAACAAUUCAUCCUCUGAUCUUGUUUUUCAGAUUAAGCAGUGUGUUUAUUAAAAAUCAUCAUCAUUGCCAUACUAAAAAGAUCUUUAGAUUGCUGCUAAUCUGAUUCUGCAUUUUAACUGCCUUAAAUUCUACAUUCACUUGCAAGUGGGGGCCACAGUCAGGUUGGCAACAAGUUUUGCAGACAAAAGGAAAUCCUGGUUGUAAAUCCCAUGAUAUAUUGUACUCAGUUUUGUAUAUGAUACUGUCUAAUGUGCUGUGCUGCCUUAUUAAAGAACUCGAUGUCCAUUUGGUUUACAUUAGAGGGAAACUUAACUGCAGCUUAACAUAUUGUUCAUUUUCAACACUGUCACGUUACAUUCGUGGGGAGCAGAUUUUAAUUUCUUUAUCAGUAAUCAACUGGAAGUUUCUUUUUGUUAAAUUAAAGCAAGAAAGGUUUUAAAAUAAAGGGCAUGGGGGUAGGACGCCACCUUUUGGUGAUAAAACAAAUAGAAAUCCCUUUUGAAAACAGAUGUUCCUGACAUAAUUUUAUUUUUAAUUACACCAAGGCAAAGGUGCUUGUCCCCAUUUCGUUAUAUUUUAAGUAACAGGAGAAAAAAAAAACCAAUGUAAAUGCAAAAUUAGCAAAUUAUAGUUAACUGCAGCCAAAAUUUUCCCAAAGGUAUCAGAAUAUGUUAGUCCCCUGUCACAUUACUGUUGAUUAUAUACACCAAACGUGAGCUUCAUUCACCAAAUACCAUGUCACUAAAUAUAUGUACAUUUGGGGAACAGAAACUGGAGUGGACAUUUACCACCUGAUGAUGUACCUGAAUGCUCUUGUAAGUUUUGAGUUGAACAAAAACUAAAACCACUUAAUUUAGUGUUUCUUUAACCACAGUUACCGGUGUCCUGAUUUUUGCCAUAUCUAUAUAACAUAACACUUCCCGAAUAAUUAAUAUACUAUACUCAUUGGAGGCCACUUAUUAUGGUAAUUGUAGCAAACAUUUUCAUUUAAAUCAACCUACUUUUAAUUUUUUUCUGUUACUGCCUUAAAUGGGAAAUCAGUAUCACCCACCAUAAAUUAAAAACAAGCACAGUAAAAACAAAGUCACUGAUUUCUCUUUGAGGGUCAAAACAAAAAUUAAAAAUGAUUUUUG